UUGGCAAAACUUCGUUUUGCCUCCUUUUUUUUUUUUGGCAGAUGAAGUAGUGUAACUUCCACAUUUGCAGAUAAAGGUCAUUUUACAAUUGUGGGAAUGUGUAUCCCAUCCAUCAAUCAAACACAACAAUAUGCCCAAUAAAUUGAACCAAAAACCAAAAAGGAGGCAAAACGAAGUUUUGCCAAUUCCUCAUAAUGGAAGUCGGAUCCGAAGGAAAGCACACUGAAAAAUAGUAAAGCCACACACACAGAUUUCAAAUUUUGGACGGGGUAUUCAGGCAUCUGGCACAGAAGCUGCAGCUCGUUU
Molecule: unclassified non-coding RNA, 306 nt
Filed under: Hevea brasiliensis (rubber tree)
Lineage: Eukaryota; Viridiplantae; Streptophyta; Magnoliopsida; Malpighiales; Euphorbiaceae
Source: RNAcentral